GAAUGUGAUGGAAGCUAAAGAAGUAUGUAAGGAGCGUAGUAGGUGGCGCUCUGUAGUUUCUGUAUACCAUCAGAUGUAUGAAUGUGGUGGAAGCUAAAGAAGUAUGUAAGGAGCGUAGUAGGUGGCGCUCUGUAGUUUCUGUAUACCAUCAGAUGUAUGAAUGUGGUGGAAGCUAAAGAAGUAUGUAAGGAGCGUAGUAGGUGGCGCUCUGUAGUUUCUGUAUACCAUCAGAUGUAUGAAUGUGAUGGAAGCUAAAGAAGUAUGUAAGGAGCGUAGUAGGUGGCGCUCUGUAGUUUCUGUAUACCAUCAGAUGUAUGAAUGUGAUGGAAGCUAAAGAAGUAUGUAAGGAGCGCAGUAGGUGGCGCUCUGUAGUUUCUGUAUACCAUCAGAUGUAUGAAUGUGAUGGAAGCUAAAGAAGUAUGUAAGGAGCGUAGUAGGUGGCGCUCUGUAGUUUCUGUAUACCAUCAGAUGUAUGAAUGUGGUGGAAGCUAAAGAAGUAUGUAAGGAGCGUAGUAGGUGGCGCUCUGUAGUUUCUGUAUACCAUCAGAUGUAUGAAUGUGAUGGAAGCUAAAGAAGUAUGUAAGGAGCGCAGUAGGUGGCGCUCUGUAGUUUCUGUAUACCAUCAGAUGUAUGAAUGUGAUGGAAGCUAAAGAAGUAUGUAAGGAGCGUAGUAGGUGGCGCUCUGUAGUUUCUGUAUACCAUCAGAUGUAUGAAUGUGGUGGAAGCUAAAGAAGUAUGUAAGGAGCGUAGUAGGUGGCGCUCUGUAGUUUCUGUAUACCAUCAGAUGUAUGAAUGUGGUGGAAGCUAAAGAAGUAUGUAAGGAGCGUAGUAGGUGGCGCUCUGUAGUUUCUGUAUACCAUCAGAUGUAUGAAUGUGGUGGAAGCUAAAGAA
Long non-coding RNA from Spodoptera frugiperda (fall armyworm), 891 nucleotides. RefSeq lists it as uncharacterized. NCBI's taxonomy places the organism in Eukaryota, Metazoa, Arthropoda, Insecta, Lepidoptera, Noctuidae. The record is from RefSeq and is a predicted model, not a curated record. The transcript is spliced from 3 exons.